UACGUAGGUGGCAAGCGUUGUCCGGAUUUACUGGGCGUAAAGAGCGCGCAGGCGGUCGUGCAAGUCGCGUGUGAAAGCCCCCGGCUCAACUGGGGAGGGUCACGCGAUACUGUUCAACUCGAAGGCAGGAGAGGGAAGCGGAAUUCCCGGUGUAGUGGUGAAAUGCGUAGAUAUCGGGAGGAACACCAGUGGCGAAGGCGGCUUCCUGGCCUGUUCUUGACGCUGAGGCGCGAAAGCUAGGGUAGCAAACGGG
RNAcentral lists this ribosomal RNA (253 nucleotides) under uncultured bacterium. RNAcentral describes it as "partial 16S ribosomal RNA". It matches the Rfam family "Bacterial small subunit ribosomal RNA", at positions 524 to 776 of the family's 1533-position model. The record is from RNAcentral.